GGACUACUGGGGUAUCUAAUCCUGUUUGCUCCCCACGCUUUCGUGCCUCAACGUCAGGAAUGAGCCAAGAAGCUGCCUUCGCCAUUGGUGUUCCUCCCGAGAUCCACGCAUUUUACCGCUACUCCGGGAAUUCCACUUCUCUCUCUCACCCUCUAGUCAACCAGUUUUCAUCGCAGUACUCCAGUUGGGCCGGAGCCUUUAACAACGAACUUAAUAAACCGUCUACACACCCUUUACGCCCAGUGAUUCCGAAUAACGCUUGCACCCUUCGUAUUACCGCGGCUGCUGGCAC
RNAcentral lists this ribosomal RNA (292 nucleotides) under uncultured bacterium. RNAcentral's name for it is "partial 16S ribosomal RNA". The record is from RNAcentral.